RNAcentral lists this ribosomal RNA (312 nucleotides) under Copepoda environmental sample. RNAcentral's name for it is "SSU rRNA". It matches the Rfam family "Eukaryotic small subunit ribosomal RNA", at positions 595 to 906 of the family's 1831-position model. Lineage: Eukaryota; Metazoa; Arthropoda; Copepoda. The record is from RNAcentral.
UAGCGUAUGCUAAUUCUGCUGCGGUUAAAAAGCUCGUAGUUGGAUCUCGGCAAGUAGGGGGCGGUUCGAUAUUUGUCGCUACUGCCCCAUUUACUUGUGUUUUUGGCCGAGGUCGGCGGGUGCUCUUAACCGAGUGUCUGUUCGGCGCGGCCAGGUUUACUUUGAAAAAAUUAGAGUGCUCAAAGCAGGCUUUACACGCUUGAAUAUUCGUGCAUGGAAUAAUAGAAUAGGACGUCGUUUCUAUUUUGUUGGUUUUCGGAAAUCGACGUAAUGAUUAAUAGGGACAGUCGGGGGCAUUAGUAUUCAGACGAC